GGAUUCCCCUAGUAACGGCGAGUGAAGAGGGAAUAGCCCAGCACCGAAGCCUGCGACAGUUUUGUUGUUAGGCAAUGUGGUGUUUGGGUCGGCUAGUGGGAUUGCCACUCCACUCGAAGUCCAGCAUUGAGUAUGGUCACUGGAUUUGGCCCAGAGAGGGUGAAAGGCCCGUACGGGUGGAGGUCUCAGACAAGUAAGGCAAUUCACCAGGCCGGCCUUAGAGUCGGGUUGUUUGUGAAUGCAGCCCAAAGUGGGUGGUAAACUCCAUCCAAGGCUAAAUACAAGCACGAGUCCGAUAGCGAACAAGUACCGUGAGGGAAAGUUGAAAAGUACUUUGAAGAGAGAGUAAACAGUACGUGAAACCGCAUGCAGGUAAACGGGUGGCGUCAAGCUGCAAGCCCAGAGGAUUCAGCUGGCUAGGAUGUUGUGUAUGCGCUUGCGCAUCUAUCAGUCAGAAUAAGAUGUGAUAGUCCACUGGUAAACGGUGGGCCCGGCCGCAAGGUUGGGAUAUGUGUACCGGGCGGAAGCCGGAGCAUGCUAUUCGUCUGUUGGGCUGUCUAGUCAGUGCACUUUCUCUGUGGUGAACACCACGACCGGUGGAAUUGCCAGUCUGCUGUAGUCAAGUCGUAUUCAGUCGGUUCUUGUAGCCAACUGGGUGCGAUCACAGGCAAACUCAGUAAACGGCGUAGGGGUGUUUCGGCAUCCCUGCGUGUUAUCGGCUGCUGGUUGUCAACGGGCCUGCCUGAUGAUUGUUGUAACCGUCAUUGGGUGGUCUGGUGGGCUAUGGUGGUAAGAAUAACUGUGCAAGGCAUCGGAGUUCUCGGCCUCAAAUGCAUCCUGCAUACACGUUACAAGUGGAGUGGGGUGCCAUUGCAACCUGCCUGUUGUUGG
This 891-nucleotide ribosomal RNA is filed under the name Clistobothrium montaukensis. Its description in RNAcentral is "partial large subunit ribosomal RNA". It matches the Rfam family "Eukaryotic large subunit ribosomal RNA", at positions 72 to 634 of the family's 3401-position model. Lineage: Eukaryota; Metazoa; Platyhelminthes; Cestoda; Phyllobothriidea; Phyllobothriidae. The record is from RNAcentral.